GACGAACGCUGGCGGCGUGCCUAAUACAUGCAAGUUGAGCGAUGAAGAUUGGUGCUUGCACCAAUUUGAAGAGCAGCGAACGGGUGAGUAACGCGUGGGGAAUCUGCCUUUGAGCGGGGGACAACAUUUGGAAACGAAUGCUAAUACCGCAUAACAACUUUAAACAUAAGUUUUAAGUUUGAAAGAUGCAAUUGCAUCACUCAAAGAUGAUCCCGCGUUGUAUUAGCUAGUUGGUGAGGUAAAGGCUCACCAAGGCGAUGAUACAUAGCCGACCUGAGAGGGUGAUCGACCACAUUGGGACUGAGACACGGCCCAAACUCCUACGGGAGGCAGCAGUAGGGAAUCUUCGGCAAUGGACGAAAGUCUGACCGAGCAACGCCGCGUGAGUGAAGAAGGUUUUCGGAUCGUAAAACUCUGUUGGUAGAGAAGAACGUUGGUGAGAGUGGAAAGCUCAUCAAGUGACGGUAACUACCCAGAAAGGGACGGCUAACUACGUG
This 497-nucleotide ribosomal RNA is filed under the name uncultured bacterium. RNAcentral describes it as "partial 16S ribosomal RNA". It matches the Rfam family "Bacterial small subunit ribosomal RNA", at positions 28 to 507 of the family's 1533-position model. The record is from RNAcentral.